UUCGGAAUUACUGGGCGUAAAGGGCUCGUAGGUGGCCAACUAAGUCGGACGUGAAAUCCCUCGGCUUAACCGGGGAACUGCGUCCGAUACUGGUUGGCUUGAGUUUGGGAGAGGGAUGCGGAAUUCCAGGUGUAGCGGUGAAAUGCGUAGAUAUCUGGAGGAACACCGGUGGCGAAGGCGGCAUCCUGGACCAAUACUGACGCUGAGGAGCGAAAGCCAGGGGAGCAAACGGG
This 233-nucleotide ribosomal RNA is filed under the name uncultured bacterium. RNAcentral describes it as "partial 16S ribosomal RNA". It matches the Rfam family "Bacterial small subunit ribosomal RNA", at positions 544 to 776 of the family's 1533-position model. The record is from RNAcentral.